RNAcentral lists this ribosomal RNA (255 nucleotides) under uncultured bacterium. RNAcentral describes it as "partial 16S ribosomal RNA". The record is from RNAcentral.
CUGCUGCCUUCCGUAGGAGUUUGGACCGUGUCUCAGUUCCAGUGUGGCUGGUCAUCCUCUCAGACCAGCUAGGGAUCGUCGCCUAGGUGAGCCGUUACCCCACCUACUAGCUAAUCCCAUCUGGGCACAUCCGAUGGCAAGAGGCCCGAAGGUCCCCCUCUUUGGUCUUGCGACGUUAUGCGGUAUUAGCUACCGUUUCCAGUAGUUAUCCCCCUCCAUCAGGCAGUUUCCCAGACAUUACUCACCCGUCCGCCA